AUUGAACGCUGGCGGCAUGCCUUACACAUGCAAGUCGAACGGCAGCACGGGUGCUUGCACCUGGUGGCGAGUGGCGAACGGGUGAGUAAUACAUCGGAACGUACCUUAUCGUGGGGGAUAACGCAGCGAAAGUUGCGCUAAUACCGCAUACGCCCUGAGGGGGAAAGCGGGGGACCGUAAGGCCUCGCGCGAUUAGAGCGGCCGAUGUCUGAUUAGCUUGUUGGUGAGGUAAAAGCUCACCAAGGCGAUGAUCAGUAGCUGGUCUGAGAGGACGAUCAGCCCCACUGGGACUGAGACACGGCCCAGACUCCUACGGGAGGCAGGAGUGGGGAAUUUUGGACAAUGGGGGCAACCCUGAUCCAGCAAUGCCGCGUGAGUGAAGAAGGCCUUCGGGUUGUAAAGCUCUUUUGUCAGGGAAGAAACAGCAGCUCUAACACAGUCUGCGAAUGACGGUACCUGAAGAAUAAGCACCGGCUAACUACGUGCCAGCCGCCGCGGUAA
RNAcentral lists this ribosomal RNA (501 nucleotides) under uncultured bacterium. RNAcentral's name for it is "partial 16S ribosomal RNA". It matches the Rfam family "Bacterial small subunit ribosomal RNA", at positions 30 to 523 of the family's 1533-position model. The record is from RNAcentral.